RNAcentral lists this ribosomal RNA (253 nucleotides) under uncultured bacterium. RNAcentral describes it as "partial 16S ribosomal RNA". It matches the Rfam family "Bacterial small subunit ribosomal RNA", at positions 524 to 776 of the family's 1533-position model. The record is from RNAcentral.
UACGUAGGGUGCAAGCGUUGUCCGGAAUUAUUGGGCGUAAAGAGCUCGUAGGCGGUUUGUCGCGUCUGGUGUGAAAAUCCAGGGCUUAACCCUGGACCUGCAUCGGGUACGGGCAGACUAGAGUGCGGUAGGGGAGAUCGGAAUUCCUGGUGUAGCGGUGAAAUGCGCAGAUAUCAGGAGGAACACCAGUGGCGAAGGCGACUAUCUGGGCUGCAACUGACGCUGAGGCGCGAAGGCUAGGGUAGCAAACAGG